Dalotia coriaria is the source of this 559-nucleotide long non-coding RNA. RefSeq lists it as uncharacterized. The record is from RefSeq and is a predicted model, not a curated record. NCBI's taxonomy places the organism in Eukaryota, Metazoa, Arthropoda, Insecta, Coleoptera, Staphylinidae. The transcript has 4 exons.
CGAAGCGCGCAUCCGGCGCGACGCGACCCUCAGCGCGCAUUCCGCGUUGAGUUUCAGCACGCUGCGUGCGCCCGGUGCCGAAUUAACAGAAAAAACACAGAAAAACUAAGAAAAACCUCCCAAAACAUCUCCACAACAGUGAACAUCAGUGCCCCCGACCGUCAGGAAUAAAAACAUUGGUAGUGUAGUGCAGUGUUGUGCGUGUCGCUUUCAAAGUAAUAACGUACACAUAGUAUAGUUCUGUGAAAAGUAAAAAUCAGUAAAGACAAUUCUACAACAAGAUGGCGUGCCGAAACCACUUCAAACCCCCUCACAUCAUUGAAAAUAUACAAGUUCUACAAAUGUUCUGCAACUACGACCACCACAAGGAAUACGGACUCCCAACAUGGCGGCAUGUGGAAGGUGGACUAAGUCGUGAGACGUGUCUCAACAUGUCCGCAUGUACACGAGAGGCUAAACUGGUAUGGCUGGUGUUAAAAUAUAAAUAUAAAUGUCUAAAAUUUUAUUGUACUAGUCUACAUAUGUAAAACUUGUCUAAAUAAAGAGAGGAUUCAAGAUA